UAUUUUAUAAUGUUAGUUAAUGGUGAAUAAUUAUUAAUAAUUAUAAAUUAGUAGUGAAAUGUUAUUCGAUUUAAAAGAUAUCUAGUUUUUUUAGAAUUGAAUUAAAUUCAUUAUUUUAUAAAUUAUUUUAAUAUUAAAAUUAAAAUAAGUUUUUAAAGUAAAAUUAUUUUAGGGAUAAACUUAGGAAAAUUAUUAAUAAUUAAAAUUUAUUGUGAAUUUAUAAAUAUUUAUAGUAAUAGAAAUUUUUAAAAAGUAUUUUAUAAUUUAUACUUAAAAUAUAAAUAGAUUUUAAUUUGAAUUUUAAAUUUUUAUAAAAAAAUAAUUUAAUAAUUUUUAUUAAGAUAUAAUGAUAAUAUUAGUAAAUAAAAUUGUAAAAUUAAUAAAAAUUAAAAAAUUAAUUUUAAAGAAUUCGACAAAAAUUUUAUUCACCUGUUUAACAAAAACAUGGUUUGUAGAAGUUAAUUAUAAAUCGGUUCUGCCCUAUGAAUAAAAAUUUAAAUGGCUGCGGUAUAUUGACCGUACAAAGGUAGCAAAAUCAAUUGUUUUUUAAUUGAAAACUGGAAUGAAAGAUCUGAUGAAAUAAAAAUUGUUUCAAGAUUAUAUAUUGAAUUUAAAUUUUAAGUUAAAAUGCUUAAAUUUUUUUGUUAGACGAGAAGACCCUAUAGAAUUUAAUAAAAUUUUAUUAUAAAAAUUUUUAUGUAAAUUGAAUUGUUAUAAUAAAUUAUAUUUUGUUGGGAGGACAAUUAAAUUAA
This 752-nucleotide ribosomal RNA is filed under the name Ectopioglossa keiseri. RNAcentral's name for it is "partial large subunit ribosomal RNA". The stretch from base 421 to 584 matches the Rfam family "Bacterial large subunit ribosomal RNA", at positions 1791 to 2013 of the family's 2925-position model. Lineage: Eukaryota; Metazoa; Arthropoda; Insecta; Hymenoptera; Vespidae. The record is from RNAcentral.